GGSUUAAUGUAAAAUAGUAUUAGGUCUGGCCUGCUCAAUGAUUUUUAAAUAGCUGCAGUAUUUUGACUGUACAAAGGUAGCAUAAUCAUUAGUUUCUUAAUUAGAAACUUGUAUGAAGGGUUCAAUAAAAAAAAAUCUGUCUCUAUUUAAUUUAUUUAGAAUUUUAUUUUUAAGUAAAAAAGCUUAAAUAAAUAUUGAAGACGAGAAGACCCUAUAGAGUUUAAUAUUUUAUAUUAAAAAUAUAAUUAGAAUAAAAGGAUUUAAUAAAAUUUAUUUUAUUGGGGUGAUUUAAAAAUUAGAUAAACUUUUUAUUAAAAAAGCAUUAAUUUAUGGGUAUGUGAUCCUUUAAUAAAGAUUAAAAGAAAAAAUUACCUUAGGGAUAACAGCGUAAUUUUUUUUAGAGUUCUUAUCGAAAAAAAAGAUUGCGACCUCGAUGUUGGAUUAAAAGAAAUUAUUGGKGUAGAAGCUAAUAAAUUAGGUCUGUUCGACCUUUAAAAUUUUACAUGAUCUGAGUUUAAACCGGCGKGAGCCAGGUCGGU
This 539-nucleotide ribosomal RNA is filed under the name Nyphaeba sp. ARC0899. RNAcentral's name for it is "partial 16S ribosomal RNA". It matches the Rfam family "Bacterial large subunit ribosomal RNA", at positions 1824 to 2635 of the family's 2925-position model. Lineage: Eukaryota; Metazoa; Arthropoda; Insecta; Coleoptera; Curculionidae. The record is from RNAcentral.